CUGACCCUCAAGAAAUUUAGCUGUAUAUAUAUUUGUGUUUAUAUUUACAUUUUAAUGCAUACAGAGCUAAACAAAGACACACAGAUACAUGUGUGUCUGUGAAAAAAUUUGUGUUUUUCCACCAUAACUGACAGUCACUCAAAGUGGUACUCUGAAUUUUCAGAAACUGGUGAUCUCUGCUGUCACCUAGUCUCUCUGAGCCUAGUUUCUUUAUCAGCUGUCCUGAAAGGUUGAUGCUAACGUAGGAGACUGGUAUUUUAUUAAUCUUUUUGUGAUACAAGUUUAGCCAAAUUGCCUUCCCAGCUGGAGAUGAUCUUUACUUGCCAUUGAUUGAAACCAGUUUGUCCAAGUCCCAAGAGCUGGGACUAGCUUUCUGGGGUCCCAUUCUAUGCUGUGUUAGAAUAGCCAACCUUAACUGAGAUAGCUAAAACCCAGAAGUGGAAGAGAGCUGUGCAAAGUGAUUCAAGUUAACAACAAAAAAACAAAACAAACAAUUUAAAAAAAAACAACUCAAAAUCUCAGGGAAUCACGUCUUCCACCUACUUUUCUUUCCUCUCACAGUAAGUAGCUCUGACACCAGUGGCCCCUAAUUUGGCCAGUGAGUAGAGACUUCUUGGGUUAAUUUUAUGCUCCUUUUUUCCCCCUUUUAACUGAAGGAAUAUUUAAGUGCUUCAUUUUUUCAUUUGAGAAAUGGACAUAAUAUGAUUUUGCAUAUUUUUCAAGUGCAAUAACUGGCUUAUUUAAAUAACAUGGCUUUAAAAUCAUUUGAAGACAUGUGAAAAUAAAAUAUUAUUGAGCUCUGGAG
This 805-nucleotide long non-coding RNA is filed under the name Bos taurus (domestic cattle). RNAcentral describes it as "long non-coding RNA NONBTAT019489". Lineage: Eukaryota; Metazoa; Chordata; Mammalia; Artiodactyla; Bovidae. The record is from RNAcentral.